UACAGAGGGUGCAAGCGUUAAUCGGAAUUACUGGGCGUAAAGCGCGCGUAGGUGGUUUGUUAAGUUGGAUGUGAAAGCCCCGGGCUCAACCUGGGAACUGCAUCCAAAACUGGCAAGCUAGAGUACGGUAGAGGGUGGUGGAAUUUCCUGUGUAGCGGUGAAAUGCGUAGAUAUUGGGAGGAACACCAGUGGCGAAGGCGGCUCACUGGACUGGUACUGACGCUGAGGCGCGAAAGCGUGGGGAGCAAACGGG
RNAcentral lists this ribosomal RNA (253 nucleotides) under uncultured bacterium. RNAcentral describes it as "partial 16S ribosomal RNA". It matches the Rfam family "Bacterial small subunit ribosomal RNA", at positions 524 to 776 of the family's 1533-position model. The record is from RNAcentral.